This 906-nucleotide ribosomal RNA is filed under the name uncultured archaeon. Its description in RNAcentral is "bacterial SSU rRNA". It matches the Rfam family "Archaeal small subunit ribosomal RNA", at positions 21 to 903 of the family's 1478-position model. The record is from RNAcentral.
CCCUACUGCUAUCGGGGCGGGACUAAGACAUGCAAGUCGUGCGUCUCUAAGCCAUGGUAGAGACGCGGCGUACGGCUCAGUAACACGUGGCUAACCUACCCUUAGGACGGAGACAACCCCGGGAAACUGGGGCUAAUACCCGAUAGGUGAGGAGGCCUGGAAUGGUUCUUCGCUGAAAAGGCGUUGAAACCAUGCUUUUCAACGUCGCCUAAGGAUGGGGCCGCGCCCGAUCAGGUUGUUGGUGGGGUAACGGCUCACCAAGCCUAUAACCGGUACGGGCCGUGAGAGCGGGAGCCCGGAGAUGGGCACUGAGAUAAGGGCCCAGGCCCUACGGGGCGCAGCAGUCGCGAAAACUCCGCAAUGCGCGAAAGCGUGACGGGGCUACCCCGAGUGCCGUCCGCUGAGGAUGGCUUUUCCCCGGUGUAAUGAGCCGGGGGAAUAAGGAGAGGGCAAGACUGGUGUCAGCCGCCGCGGUAAUACCAGCUCUCCGAGUAGUAGGGACGAUUAUUGGGCUUAAAGCGUCCGUAGCCGGCUUAGCAAGUCUCCUGUUAAAUUCAGCGACCUAAUCGUUGGGCCGCGGGAGAUACUACUAGGCUAGGAGGCGGGAGAGGCCGACGGUAUUCUCGGGGUAGGGGUGAAAUCCUAUAAUCCCGGGAGGACCACCAGUGGCGAAGGCUGUCGGCUAGAACGCGCUCGACGGUGAGGGACGAAAGCUGGGGGAGCAAACCGGAUUAGAUACCCGGGUAGUCCCAGCUGUAAACGAUGCGGGCUAGGUGUUGGGGUGGCUACGAGCCACUUCAGUGCCGCAGGGAAGCCGUUAAGCCCGCCGCCUGGGGAGUACGGCCGCAAGGCUGAAACUUAAAGGAAUUGGCGGGGGAGCACCACAAGGCGUGAAGCUUGCGGUUC